This is an RNA transcript of Mesocricetus auratus (golden hamster), 1687 nucleotides long. It is a transcript of the gene named coiled-coil domain containing 78, with no coding region annotated. The transcript has 10 exons. Lineage: Eukaryota; Metazoa; Chordata; Mammalia; Rodentia; Cricetidae. The record is from RefSeq and is a predicted model, not a curated record.
AUGAUACGGGGCCCACGAAGGAAUGGAAUGUGGAAGGAGCUGUGCACUCUCCUCUCUUCGUAAGCACUGGACGGCCUUGCCCUUCCUUGUAGGCAGGAUAAGUAGUCUCUAAGAUCAACAGAGACCUUGGCAACAGUGGCAACACUCACUGCAACAGUCAGGAAGCAAACCUCCAUCAGACAAGUCCUGGGCUAGAGUUCCUCUUCCCUAUGGAGUAUGUGGCAGCCCCAGGCCCCAGGCCAGGGGCCCCACUUCAAGUCACAGAGAAUGUCGUUCCAGGAGCUGACGACUGGCUGCCAAGAGUUUCUGGACACCCAGCCUGGGCUGCCAGCCUGGAGACAGAAUAUAAACCAGAUCCAGAGUUGAGUGAGCAGCAGUGGUUGCAGAUUUCCAAGGAGCUAGUUGAUCUUCAGAUUGCAACCCAUCACCUUCGUGAACAGCAUGAAGCUGAAGUCUUCGAGCUGAAGAGGGAAGUUCUUCGACUGGAAAGUCGGGUGCUAGAGCUAGAGCUGCAUGGAAAUGGUGACUGCUGGAGACAUAGAGUCCCACCAGCAGUCAAUUCGGGGCACCACCAGGUGCCACUGCAAGAAGAGCCAUCAGGAGGCCAGCAGAAGCUGCAGGAAGAACUAAAGCGGGUCCUGGAGCAUCAUGGAGUCAGGCAGCAGGCACUGGAGACACGAGUGGCAGUCCUAGGCCGGCAGCUACAAGGAGCCCAAGAGGAAGCCAGGGUAGCUGGUCAGCGACUGGCUGCCCAAGCCAUGGUGCUGUCUACCUGUCAGGGUCAGCUCCGGCAGGCAGAGGCUGAAAAUGCUCAGCUGCAGUUGCAGUUGAAGAAGCUGAAUGAGGAGUAUGCUGUCCGACUGCAGUGUUAUGCCAAAGAGACAGUGGAGACUGCCAAUAGCACAGACCAGGCAGCCCUUCAAACAUUCCUGGAGGCCACUCUGCAGGACAUUCGGGCUGCACACCGGAGCCGAGAGCAACAAUUGGCCCAAGCUGCCCGGACCUACCGCAAGCGCCUGGCAGAUCUGAGCUGGAGGCAGGAGUUGCUGCUAACCACAUACAGUAUGGCCGACAUAGGACACUGCUACUUUACCCAGAAAAGGCAUCUGGUGAAGCUUCCAAGGAGGGCCGGUCACAGCCUGUGUGAGUGCCCUCCUGUUGGUGUAGGGGAGGUCCAGGAGUCAGGCUGCAUAGCUUUCAUCCACUCUGGCACCCCAUGCUGCUGGCUGGGAGUCUCCUGUCCCUGCUCUGGGCUAUCUCAGUUUAUAUAGGGGUCACUGGCAACUGUAGAAAAAAAUGGAUGGCUGCUUUGGUAAGCAUCUGGCAAGUGAAACUUGGGUUUGGUGGGAGCUGACAGUCUGGUGACAUGGCCAGCCCUGGCUUUGAGCCUCUACACCUGCUGUAUAGCAGGCAGGCAUGGGGAAGAGGACGCCUAAUAGACCAGAGGGUCCCCAGGGCCCCAAGCCGUGCUAAAAUCACACAGCAGGUUAUUAUGCCUGCCUUGGAGACUGUCCCUCCUGCCCUCCUCCCCUCACAGGACCCUGGAUACUGCAUCCAGGGCCCAAAUCCAACAGAAGCUGCAGGACUUCUCCCAGGACACCCAGGCAGAGCUAGAACGAGAGCGGGCACAGCUGAUGGUCCGGGCCACCAUGGCAGAGCAGCAGCUUUCUGAGCUACAAGAGUAUGU